AGAGUUUGAUCCUGGCUCAGAUUGAACGCUGGCGGCAGGCCUAACACAUGCAAGUCGAACGGCAGCACAGCAGUAGCAAUACUGUGGGUGGCGAGUGGCGGACGGGUGAGGAAUGCGUCGGAAUCUGCCUUUUUGUGGGGGAUAACGUAGGGAAACUUACGCUAAUACCGCAUACGACCUACGGGUGAAAGUGGGGGACCUUCGGGCCUCACGCAGAAAGAUGAGCCGACGCCGGAUUAGCUAGUUGGCGGGGUAAAGGCCCACCAAGGCGACGAUCCGUAGCUGGUCUGAGAGGAUGAUCAGCCACACUGGGACUGAGACACGGCCCAGACUCCUACGGGAGGCAGCAGUGGGGAAUAUUGGACAAUGGGCGCAAGCCUGAUCCAGCCAUGCCGCGUGUGUGAAGAAGGCCUUCGGGUUGUAAAGCACUUUUGUCCGGAAAGAAAAGCUUCGGGUUAAUAACCUGGAGUCAUGACGGUACCGGAA
RNAcentral lists this ribosomal RNA (486 nucleotides) under uncultured bacterium. Its description in RNAcentral is "bacterial SSU rRNA". It matches the Rfam family "Bacterial small subunit ribosomal RNA", at positions 8 to 483 of the family's 1533-position model. The record is from RNAcentral.